Molecule: long non-coding RNA, 351 nt
Organism: Marmota monax (woodchuck)
Lineage: Eukaryota; Metazoa; Chordata; Mammalia; Rodentia; Sciuridae
Exons: 2
Source: RefSeq, a predicted model, not a curated record
CCUGCAGCCCUGCCCGGCCAACAGGACGUGCUGCACUCCCCAGCAAAACAGCCGACAUCUGCAGGAGAGAUGGAGGUGCACCACCAGAUGAGAACACAGGUCACCCUGAAGGAGGAACAAAGUCAUCCAGACUGUGCGGAUGGCACCAGGUGAUCUCAGAGAUGACUGUCACCCACAUCAACAAGCGAAGGGCAACCCCAACAGAGAACCUGGGGCGCGCUGCCUCUGAGUCACCUCUUCAAAAGCCCCCUCCCCGCUCCUGCUGACAGAGUCACAGCCUCUGGGACAGGAGUCCCCUGGGUCUCUCCUUUGCUAGCAAAGCCAUAAACUUUCUUUUUCUUUUUCUCAGAA